CCUUUGAAGGCAAGGACUAUGUCCUAUUCCACCUUGAAUUCUCAUCACCAAGCGGAACGCCUGACACCUAAUCUAGUCAGUGCUUACUAAGUGCUCAUUAUCAAUGCAAGAAUAACAGAGCUAUGGAACCUGGCAGACACCUCAUUUCUCUGGGCCUCAGUCUUCUCAUGCAGAACUUGGGAUUGGACUAAAUUGGAUCUCCUAGGCUUCCUCUGACUCUAACGAUUCUCUGAUUUAAAUUAUUCUUCAUCUGGAUGUAAUCCACCUUGCUUUUCCAUCCCAGGCUCUGUUCUCACUCAUGGCUGAUGGGCAAAGGCGACUAAGGAGGCACAGCUCCGCGAGGAUGUCCUUACAACUUUGCAACCCCCAAGGAAAAAGAGGUUGUUUUCCCAAUAUCUACUGUAAAACCUAAGAGGAAAAUUUCGCGUUGCUGCAGCUUGGAUCAUGCAUUUAUCAUUUGGACCACCUCUGAGGACAGGGAGUUGCAGUCUAUGUGGAUUUUAUGGAAUAGAUGCUAUGUGGUGGAAUCCUGAGUCACGGCCAAACAGCAAAUGCCAGCAAGAGUAGAGUAGGAGGCAUUUCUGUGUACACUUUGGGAAAAAGUCCAUUCCUCACUUGGUUUCAUUUCUGGCCUGAGCCACUGUGUCCUCCACCUGAAGCCCUGACCUCUCCGUUACUGACUGGAUCCCAAUGUGCCACAGUUCACCUGCAUAAGGAGGGAGUCGAAGACAAGAAAACUGUGAGAGGCUAAGUCAUUUGCUGAGGUCAUAUGACAUCUAAAUGGCAGAGCUCAGAAACCUCAGGGAUUAGAGUGAAGUAGGUGAGGAAAUGAGACAUCAAAAGAUUAAGUGACUUGCUAAAAUUUACACUGCCUACGAAAGCUGACCUGGAAUGUGAACCAGAAAUUGUCCUUAACCAAAUCACCUCACUGUCUCUCAAGAGAUGGGGUCUCACUACAUUGCCCAGGCUGGCUCUCAAAUUCCUGGCCUCAGACGAUCCUCUUGCCUUGGCCUCCCAAUAUGCUGGGAUUACAGGCAUGAGCCAACACACCCAGCUAUGAAUAUUUUUUAUCAGGAAGAAGCUUUUGGCUGUAAGAACAGAAAGUUCCAACUCUACCAACUUGCACACUUAUUUAAUAUCUGGAGGUGGGGCAGUUCCGGGACUGGCUGUUGCAGUGGCUCAUUUGAAGCCAUCUGGUCUCCAGCUUCCUUCCCCCUUUCUGCUCUGCCCUGUCCAGUGUGCUGGCCUCUUUCUCAGGCUGGUUGCCCCCAGCUAGCAAGGGGGCUGCAGACCCCAAACAUCGCAUUCUCAUGCAACAACCACAGGCAGAGAAAGGUGCUGUUUAUUCACCUGUGUCUCUUCUUACCAGGUAUUAAAGAAACAUCUUGUG
Gorilla gorilla gorilla (western lowland gorilla) is the source of this 1390-nucleotide long non-coding RNA. RefSeq lists it as uncharacterized. The record is from RefSeq and is a predicted model, not a curated record. NCBI's taxonomy places the organism in Eukaryota, Metazoa, Chordata, Mammalia, Primates, Hominidae. The transcript has 6 exons.